RNAcentral lists this ribosomal RNA (253 nucleotides) under uncultured bacterium. Its description in RNAcentral is "partial 16S ribosomal RNA". It matches the Rfam family "Bacterial small subunit ribosomal RNA", at positions 524 to 776 of the family's 1533-position model. The record is from RNAcentral.
UACAGAGGUCCCAAGCGUUGUUCGGAUUCACUGGGCGUAAAGGGUGCGUAGGUGGUGAGGUAAGUCGGAUGUGAAAUCUCGGAGCUCAACUCCGAAACUGCAUUGGAAACUACCUUGCUCGAGGGUUGGAGGGGGGACUGGAAUUCUCGGUGUAGCAGUGAAAUGCGUAGAUAUCGAGAGGAACACCAGUGGCGAAGGCGAGUCCCUGGACAACUCCUGACACUGAGGCACGAAAGCUAGGGGAGCAAACAGG